This 37-nucleotide small RNA is filed under the name Arabidopsis thaliana (thale cress). RNAcentral describes it as "ATSL071020". Lineage: Eukaryota; Viridiplantae; Streptophyta; Magnoliopsida; Brassicales; Brassicaceae. The record is from RNAcentral.
UUUUUUUUUCCUCCUUUUUUGUUUGUUUUCACUUGUU